Enterococcus thailandicus is the source of this 36-nucleotide non-coding RNA. The record is from Rfam. NCBI's taxonomy places the organism in Bacteria, Bacillati, Bacillota, Bacilli, Lactobacillales, Enterococcaceae.
GUUUUGGAAGCAUUCGAAACAACAUAGCUCUAAAAC